This is a long non-coding RNA of Ctenocephalides felis (cat flea), 745 nucleotides long. RefSeq lists it as uncharacterized. The transcript has 3 exons. The record is from RefSeq and is a predicted model, not a curated record. Lineage: Eukaryota; Metazoa; Arthropoda; Insecta; Siphonaptera; Pulicidae.
AUGUGUUACGCAACAAUUUAUAUUAUUUCAUAGCGUGGUGUAGAUCUGAAUUCAAUUGAAAGAACUUUAAAUACGUAUUAUUUUUAAAUACUAUUAACGCUAUUAUGAAUUAAGUGGAAAUAUAUGAACAUUGCUCAAACGAUAACUUUAUAGUGGUUAAUUUUCGGUGAUCUGUGAUGCAGACCUGAUGUAGUCUAUUUCGUGCACGUGGUGAUUAAUAUUUGCUCUUCGGCUCGAGGUAUAUUGGCAAAUUCCGAAUAAAAUUGACCAUCGAAAAUAUGCGUACAAUUGAAAAUAGCCCAUGUUGGGCACUGCGGUGUGAAAUGGCAAUGACAAAUCUUUCACACUAUUUUUUUCUGAAUCCAGUUGGAGUUUAACUCAGCUCACCAACCUAAGACAGUACUACUCAUUAUUAUUAUUAAUGUAAAAUUCGGUCUAGAAAACAACCCGGAAUGCUCCGAUGGGAUAUUUUCACAUGAUAUUAUGUUUGAUAUUUAUAAUAUCAUUACUGCUUGAUAUCAAACUGGACCAAGUUCUUGGCAACGAGACCUACCCAAUUAUCAUCCUUUGAUUGACCAAAAUUCAGAAUAAUAGUUUCGACAAAACAACAAAUUUUGUUACAAUAUUCAUACACAUUUACAUUUGUUUAUAACCAUAAAUCUGAACCUGCAAUUGAUACAGAUGAUAAAAUUUAAAUUCUAUGUUUAUAAAUCAUGUAAUCUAUUUAUAAAUGUCAGUAAAACAC